GCUGGGCACAGUGGUGUACACCUGUAAUCCCAGUGGCUCAGGAGGCUGAGACAGGAGGAUCAUGAGUUCAAAGCCAGCCUCAGCAAUGGCAAGGCACUAAGCAACUCAGUGAGACCCUGUCUCUA
This 125-nucleotide small RNA is filed under the name Marmota monax (woodchuck). The record is from RNAcentral. Lineage: Eukaryota; Metazoa; Chordata; Mammalia; Rodentia; Sciuridae.